RNAcentral lists this ribosomal RNA (482 nucleotides) under uncultured bacterium. Its description in RNAcentral is "partial 16S ribosomal RNA". It matches the Rfam family "Bacterial small subunit ribosomal RNA", at positions 30 to 507 of the family's 1533-position model. The record is from RNAcentral.
AUUGAACGCUGGCGGCAUGCCUAACACAUGCAAGUCGAACGGUAACAGGUCUUCGGCUUCUUCCUAGGGGCGGCCGGGGGCGGAAGACUUCGGAACGCGUCCGAUCCUGCUGUUUAGCGGGGCAAAAGGUGUGCUAACUCCCCAUACGACCUCAUACUACAAACGGGGGAUCUUCGGGCCUCUCGCGGCCUUGGCCGCCGAUGUCGGAUUAGGUAGUUGUGGGGAUAAAGGCGUACCAAGGCGACGAUCUGUAGCUGGUCUGAGAGGAUGAUGAGCCACACUGGAACUGAGACACGGCCCAGACUCCUACGGGAGGCAGCAGUGGGGAAUUUUGGACAAUGGGCGAAAGCCUGAUCCAGCCAUGCCGCGUGCAGGAUGAAGGCCUUUGGGUUGUAAACUCCUUUUGUAGGGAAAGAAAAGCAUCAUUCUAAUAAACAGAGGUCAUGACGGUACCGAAAGAAUAAGCACCGGCUAACUACGUG